Molecule: long non-coding RNA, 1145 nt
Organism: Myotis brandtii (Brandt's bat)
Lineage: Eukaryota; Metazoa; Chordata; Mammalia; Chiroptera; Vespertilionidae
Exons: 2
Source: RefSeq, a predicted model, not a curated record
UACUGCUGUGUAUGUGCUCCAUGUGAGUGACGUAGGUGCUUAUGAAGGUGGGUUCCAACUUUGGCAAAAAUCACGUUAUGUCACUCUGUACAAACAGAUCUCUGACGUAACUCGAGGACCUAUUGUAUUAUCUGUUUGGAAAGUUUAAUCUACAUUUUCUUAACUUGGUGUCUAAUAUACAAUAUUUUACUGUUGUUCUCCUAGCUAACUAGAUGCUUAAUUUCAGUCUCCCUAGCACUCAAGUUAAUGAACCUCUUCUCCAUCGACACACAUUCCCUGGAUAAAUUAAUCCAGCCAUGUUUUUAAACACUGCAAAGAUUUUCCAAAUUUUUAUUUCCAGCUCAGAACUAUCACCAGAAUUCCAGAUUCAUAUAUCCAGUUACUCAACAAUAUAUGUUAAUUUUGAAAAGGCAUAUAAAACAUAACACUGAAGUUCCACCUCUGCCAAGCAGUCUAGAUAGUUUCAGAUCAAUCCUCUCAAUGACAACUAAAAAACUGAACAAAAUAUAAAAACUAUAUAUUUGAAAGCAAUUGAAAACUAUCAAUGGCCAAAAUGCAAGACAGGAAGAAAGACCAGAAAUGUGAGACUGUUGGGAGUCACUUUUAUCUUUAAGGCAACUGUUGUAUUUGGUUGUGGCUGAGAGGCUGAGAUGCUAGGCACAUUUCUUAGCAAACUUGUAAAAGUAGGGGGAAAACUGAGAGUACAUGAUCUAUGAACAGCAGGCCUAAUAAACAACUCAUUCUUUUGUUUGGGAACCUGAAGAAAUAUACUGUAAGAGCAUCUUUUUUGAUCCCACUUCGAAAAACACCCUAACACUAGGAUUUAAAUGCACAUAGUUUAUUUGGGAUAUGCCAAGGACAAGAGUAGGGGAGUGGAGAAAAGAUACAGGAAAGUGAAAGCAGGCCUUAAAUUAAUGGGAUAUGUUAUUAAACCAGUUACCCACAGUGGGUAACUCUAGUUAACAUAACAGGGAAACUGAGAAACAGUAAAAAUACAAACCUCAUUAUUACCCAAUGCAAAAGGGAACUGAGGUAUUUAUAUAACAAUCCCAAAGUGUUUUCUAGGGUAAAGGGGAGUAUUAACUCCUUGGGAUUUUAGAACUGCUGAGUACAGCCUUCUGCAGUUCCAGAAAAAAAAAAAAAAA